Camellia sinensis is the source of this 1116-nucleotide non-coding RNA. NCBI's taxonomy places the organism in Eukaryota, Viridiplantae, Streptophyta, Magnoliopsida, Ericales, Theaceae. The record is from RefSeq and is a predicted model, not a curated record.
ACAUGGCAGCAAAUGUAAAUAUACUUUCUCACACACAAUACUUCUUUAAUUAGCCCUAACUGACGCCCAAAACAUCUCAUCUCAUUCACACAUUAUCGCUGAUUUGCCGCUGCUCUCAUUCACACCCAAACACCCAAACAUCAUCGCUAAUCGUCGUUGCUCUUCACUCGCCGUUGCUGUUCUCCGCUCACCGCUGCUGGUCUCCUCAUCAUUUUAUCGAUGGUAAUCAGAUGCAUACCAUUUUUAAAGAAUUUGAUACUUAUGCCUAAUGCUCAUCUUUACUUCUUCACAGACAGCUGCACAUUUCUUUGAUUUUUGGUAAUCGUCAAGAAUUAAUUAAAUGGGCUUCUGACGUUGGGAAGAAGACUGGAUAUGUCAUUGUUAUAAAGACAUCAAAUGCGAGAGGUAAUGGUAGAAAAUCAAGACUUACACUUACUUGUGAAAGAAGUGGUUACUAUAGAGACAACAGGAAGAUCAAGGGGGAACGAUUAAGGUUGACAGGUUCUAAAAAGUGUGGAUAUCCAUUUCUAUUAAGGAAGGAAAAUUACCUACAAAUGAUGUAGUGGAUGUUGCAUGUCUUAUGCGGCGUGUACAAUCAUCGGCCUGUUGAACAUCUUGAAGGGCACUCAUUUGUUGACAGAUUAUCUAAGGAAGAAACAACCUUACUAGUAACAUGCUAAAGAGUAUGGUGCGACCAAAAGAGAUAUUGGUUACAUUGAAACAAAGGGAUGCCUUCAAUGCGACAACAAUGAAGACAAUCUACAACACACGUCAUCAGCAUCGAGUAGUUCAAAGGGCUGGAAGAUCACAGAUGCAAUAACUAUUAAGGUGAUCAAACGCGUGACCAGGUUCAGUGCUAAUAGCCUGGAGGUCCGUUCAGUCAACCAACCACUGUGCCUCUCGAUGAGGUUCCCGUUUUGAAGUGGUCAAGUUUUUGUGAACAAUGUUUAAGACCUUUUUGUAUUUCUUUGUUAAGUCUGAACAUGUCUUUUGGUUAUCUAUAUGUAUAUAUGGUGACGUGUGGAUGACGUCAUAACUAUGCAAAUUAAGUUUUAAUUUUUUUUUGUCCCAUGUAUAUCUAUACAGCUCUGUGGAAAAUAUAUUUUGAUAUUUGUU